AUGAGUCAGGCUUUUUCAGCCGCUAUUUCCUCGUCCCCAAUAGAGACGGCGGGCCAAACCCAUUCUAGAUCUCAGACAUCUGAACAGCUCGCUUAUGUGCCGGUAGUCCAAGAUGAUGACGGUCAAGAAAAUUCUCACGCAUAUUUGCCCCGAGGAUUGGUUUUUGACCCUGGAUUUGAAAGAUGCUUACGUUCACAUCCACAUAGCCCCCCGUCACAGACCGUUCUUGAGAUUCGCGUUCGAGGGAGUGGCCUAUCAGUAUGCAGUCCUUCUGUUGGACUGUCCCGGGCCCCACGCACUUUUACGAAGUGCAUUGCCGUGGCUCUGUCCCCUCUCAGGCAGAUGGGAAUCCGCGUAUUGAACUACCUCAACGAUUGGCUGGUUUUAGCCAGAUCGGAACGGGAACUGAAUGCUCACAAAGAGCUGCUGCUCAAAGUGCCUCGGGUUGGUCAGUUGUUGCCCAGAAGGCGAACUGUCUUUCUGGGAACGGUUCUAGACUCCGCCCUAAUGCGGGCAUGGAUCUCGCCAGAUCUGUCCCUGACAAUUCAGCGAUUGACGGCUUCCCUCAAAGCGGGGACGACAUGCCCCCUGAAGGUUUUUCAGAGGCUGCGCGGCCCCAUGGCCGCUGUCGCCUCUGUAACUCCGCUGGGCCUGCGCCACAUGUGGCCCCUCCAAUUUUGGCUAAAAGCCCAAGGAUGGGCGUCCUUCCUUCCAGCCAUCAAAGGCCACCACAUCCUGGUCCAUUCAGACAGCACGACAGUGGUGUCUUAUAUCAAUCACCAAUGUGGUCUCAAGUCUCACGCCUUAUACAGAUUGGCUCGUCGCCUUCUCUGGGCACAGAAAGAACUCUCGCUAAGGGCGGUUCAUGUGCCAGGCAAGAUGAACCUGGGAUCGGACAUGCUGUCCAGAGGCAAGGUAGCCCCAGGCGAUUGGGCGCUGUACUCUCAGACGGUACAGCGAAUUUGGGCGGUCUCUGGGAAGGCAGAGUUUGACCUCUUUGCCUCAGAAGACAACUCUCAUUGCCCAACAUUUUUCUCGAUACGGAGAGAUGCCCUGGCCCACGACUGGCCCAGGGCUCGUCUGUAUGCAUUCCCUCCUAUCGCCCCGAUUCCCCAGAUCAUCAGGCGAGUCAAGGAAACCAAAUGCUCCCUCCUCCUAGUAGCUCUGCUCUGGAAGAACCAGGCUUGGUUACCAGAGCUGAUGCCACUGGUGACGAGGGCCCCGUGGCCCAUCCCGUUGAAGAGGGACCUUCUCUCACAGGCAAAAGGCAUGAUUUGGCAUCCCCGCCCAGAGUUGUGGAGCCUUCAUGUCUGGUGCCUUGACGGAAGUCUGACAGGCUCCCAGCGAGAGUAA
Cyprinus carpio (common carp) is the source of this 1353-nucleotide long non-coding RNA. NCBI's taxonomy places the organism in Eukaryota, Metazoa, Chordata, Actinopteri, Cypriniformes, Cyprinidae. The record is from Ensembl.